Molecule: ribosomal RNA, 254 nt
Filed under: uncultured bacterium
Lineage: Bacteria
Description: partial 16S ribosomal RNA
Rfam family: Bacterial small subunit ribosomal RNA
Source: RNAcentral
UACGUAGGGUGCAAGCGUUGUCCGGAAUUAUUGGGCGUAAAGAGCUCGUAGGCGGUGUGUCACGUCGGCCGUGAAAACCUGCAGCUUAACUGUGGGCGUGCGGUCGAUACGGGCAUCACUGGAGUUCGGCAGGGGAGACUGGAAUUCCUGGUGUAGCGGUGAAAUGCGCAGAUAUCAGGAGGAACACCUGAGGUGAAGACGGGUUGCUAGGCUGACACUGACGCUGAGGCGCGAAAGCCAGGGGAGCAAACGGG